CUAAGUAUAAAGAAGCAAAUAAUAAUUGGAAUCGUACGAAAUCUUAAAACUAAUUCUCUUUUAUUCCUAACGAACAGCUAACCGUCGGCAAAAGAAAUGAAAAAAAAAAAAAAAAUCAUAACAAUCUUGAAGAAGCAUGAUUCUUGCCAUUUCUUCAAGCAUACCAACAAAUAUUAUUGUCUUUGUGUCUUCCUUAGUUUGGCUAUUCAACUUUUCUAUUUCUACAGUAUAUCUUAAUUUAUUUCUCUCUUCUAACCUCCCUUUAUAUCCUUCCUUAGUACAAC
RNAcentral lists this long non-coding RNA (284 nucleotides) under Capsella rubella. RNAcentral describes it as "long non-coding RNA (CRUB_LNC001458)". Lineage: Eukaryota; Viridiplantae; Streptophyta; Magnoliopsida; Brassicales; Brassicaceae. The record is from RNAcentral.